AGCGAACGCUGGCGGCAUGCCUAACACAUGCAAGUCGCACGGGGGGGCUUCGGCCUCCCAGUGGCGGACGGGUGAGGAACGCGUAGGGACCUGUCGAGGGGUGGGGGAUAACCGCGGGAAACUGCGGCUAAUACCGCAUGACGCCGCGGCGUGACAGCCGGGGCCAAAGGCGAAAGCCGCCCGCCGAGGGGCCUGCGUCCGAUUAGCUGGUUGGCGGGGUAGCGGCCCACCAAGGCGUCGAUCGGUAGCUGGUCUGAGAGGGUGAUCAGCCACACCGGGACUGAGACACGGCCCGGACUCCUACGGGAGGCAGCAGUGGGGAAUAUUGGACAAUGGGCGCAAGCCUGAUCCAGCAAUGCCGCGUGGGUGAAGGAGGUCUUCGGAUUGUAAAGCCCUUUCGGCGGGGACGAUGGUGACGGUACCCGCAGAAGAAGCCCCGGCUAACUUCGU
This 450-nucleotide ribosomal RNA is filed under the name uncultured bacterium. RNAcentral's name for it is "partial 16S ribosomal RNA". It matches the Rfam family "Bacterial small subunit ribosomal RNA", at positions 28 to 506 of the family's 1533-position model. The record is from RNAcentral.